RNAcentral lists this transfer RNA (74 nucleotides) under Actinomycetes bacterium. RNAcentral's name for it is "tRNA-Ala". It matches the Rfam family "tRNA". From Rfam's summary of the family: Transfer RNA (tRNA) molecules are approximately 80 nucleotides in length. Their secondary structure includes four short double-helical elements and three loops (D, anti-codon, and T loops). The record is from RNAcentral. RNAcentral also lists the same sequence under 1 other name. Lineage: Bacteria; Bacillati; Actinomycetota; Actinomycetes.
GGGGCUAUAGCUCAAUUGGUAGAGCGCUUGCAUGGCAUGCAAGAGGUCAGGGGUUCAAUUCCCCUUAGCUCCAC